GAAGUCACCUGUAGAUAAUUUUAAUAAGAUUCCAAUGACCAUAUUUUGUGAGAUAUGGCACAUUAUUCACAGACCAUGAUCUUUGUGAUUUACAUAUAAUUUCCUUAACAAUGAACAUGUAACUUCUCUCACAAGAGUACUCUUUACUUUGUAAUCAUAUACAAUGUCAACUUUUUAGAUGUUUCACCACUCUUUUGCAAAUAAAGCAUCCUUUCUGCUCUGUUGCAUGCCUGCUCU
RNAcentral lists this long non-coding RNA (237 nucleotides) under Homo sapiens (human). Its description in RNAcentral is "long non-coding RNA NONHSAT018479". The record is from RNAcentral. Lineage: Eukaryota; Metazoa; Chordata; Mammalia; Primates; Hominidae.